RNAcentral lists this ribosomal RNA (164 nucleotides) under Bidens pilosa (bur-marigold). RNAcentral describes it as "5.8S ribosomal RNA". It matches the Rfam family "5.8S ribosomal RNA". From Rfam's summary of the family: 5.8S ribosomal RNA (5.8S rRNA) is a component of the large subunit of the eukaryotic ribosome. Lineage: Eukaryota; Viridiplantae; Streptophyta; Magnoliopsida; Asterales; Asteraceae. The record is from RNAcentral.
UAAACGACUCUCGGCAACGGAUAUCUCGGCUCACGCAUCGAUGAAGAACGUAGCAAAAUGCGAUACUUGGUGUGAAUUGCAGAAUCCCGUGAACCAUCGAGUUUUUGAACGCAAGUUGCGCCCGAAGCCUUCUGGCCAAGGGCACGUCUGCCUGGGCGUCACGC